UACGUAGGGGGCUAGCGUUGUCCGGAAUCAUUGGGCGUAAAGAGCGUGUAGGCGGCCCGGUAAGUCCGCUGUAAAAGUCAAAGGCUCAACCUUUGAAUGUCAGUGGAUACUGCCGGGCUAGAGUCCGGAAGAGGCGAGUGGAACUCCUGGUGUAGCGGUGGAAUGCGCAGAUAUCAGGAGGAACACCAAUGGCGAAGGCAGCACUCUGGGACGUGACUGACGCUGAGACGCGAAAGCGUGGGGAGCGAACAGG
RNAcentral lists this ribosomal RNA (253 nucleotides) under uncultured bacterium. Its description in RNAcentral is "partial 16S ribosomal RNA". It matches the Rfam family "Bacterial small subunit ribosomal RNA", at positions 524 to 776 of the family's 1533-position model. The record is from RNAcentral.